RNAcentral lists this long non-coding RNA (1020 nucleotides) under Fragaria vesca (wild strawberry). Its description in RNAcentral is "long non-coding RNA (FVES_LNC004207)". Lineage: Eukaryota; Viridiplantae; Streptophyta; Magnoliopsida; Rosales; Rosaceae. The record is from RNAcentral.
GAGGAGGAAGUUCCGGCGAAGGGAAGUUCGGGACAGCCCUUGCUUUCGAGCGGCACCGCUCUCUCACGGCGGCGCUAGGGCUCCUCUCACCGGUCUAGAAAUGUUGCUGGGAGGGAGACCGACCGAACGGGACCGGUCCGGCGGCGAACGGAGGUCGGACGGCGGCGGGAGGACGGCCGGAAAUUUCCUGGGUGUAGAGAGAAAAAAAAUCGGGUGGGAGGAGAGAGAAUCGGGAGAGAGGGAGAAGAGAAAGAAGAAAUGGGUUGGGCUCGGCCCAGCCGACCCAACACUCCUUUUAACCCAAAAUUCCAAAAUUCAACACCCCGAAAAAAUAAUACCCGAAUAAAAAUUACCUUUUACUAGCUAAAAUUUACCAUUUUUACCGUCGUCGUAUUUUCCCCAUACGAAUUAUCCUCCGCACAUAAUCGUCCCCGAAACCCCUCUAGGGACCAAUUAAACUAUUUACUCAAUGAUUGGGACGGUAAAAUUCUUAUUAUAAUCACGCUAGUAAAUAAGGUAAAAAUAUAAGGGUCGGGAUGUGACACUAUCCCUAAUGAGCGCUCCCACGCGGCCGGAGUACGUCCUCGACUUCCCGCCCGAUACUACGUCGCCAUCCCCGUCAGUACCGAUGACAAUCCUCCCUGAGGUACCGACGAUCUUCUCGAGAGCCUUCCCUGUGACGGGGCCUCUCUUCUUUUUUGCCGGCUUCGCUCCGACGGUGCCUAUCACAUGAUAACCAAAUUGAUUAUUAAAAUCGGAGAAUUAUAAGAAAACACAUCAUUCAUCUUUCAUUACCUGAGGGCGAGGAGGCGGACGCGACGGAUUCCGCCUCCGAUGAUGAUACCCUCGCCGAAAUAAGAGGCGUAUCAAAAGGCACGAACCGGUACGCCGCUGAUGGAGCCACUGGCGGGGGCAGUGGAUAAAAUCGGCGUCCCUGAGUCAUCGACUACAGGUAUGGCCGGUAUCAUCCGCGGAAGGAAUAGGUGAGGCGGCGGCAUUUGUACCCCAGAUGACCCACUA